RNAcentral lists this ribosomal RNA (447 nucleotides) under uncultured bacterium. RNAcentral describes it as "bacterial SSU rRNA". It matches the Rfam family "Bacterial small subunit ribosomal RNA", at positions 331 to 795 of the family's 1533-position model. The record is from RNAcentral.
CCAGACUCCUACGGGAGGCAGCAGUGGGGAAUAUUGCACAAUGGGGGAAACCCUGAUGCAGCGACGCCGCGUGAGCGAUGAAGUAUUUCGGUAUGUAAAGCUCUAUCAGCAGGGAAGAAAAUGACGGUACCUGACUAAGAAGCCCCGGCUAACUACGUGCCAACAGCCGCGGUAAUACGUAGGGGGCAAGCGUUAUCCGGAUUUACUGGGUGUAAGGGGAGCGUAGACGGCCAUUCAAGCCAGAUGUGAAAGCCCGGGGCUCAACCCCGGGACUGCAUUUGGAACUGUGCGGCUAGAGUGUCGGAGAGGCAGGCGGAAUUCCUAGUGUAGCGGUGAAAUGCGUAGAUAUUAGGAGGAACACCAGUGGCGAAGGCGGCCUGCUGGACGAUGACUGACGUUGAGGCUCGAAAGCGUGGGGAGCAAACAGGAUUAGAUACCCGGGUAUUA